This 121-nucleotide small nucleolar RNA is filed under the name Calidris pugnax (ruff). The record is from RNAcentral. Lineage: Eukaryota; Metazoa; Chordata; Aves; Charadriiformes; Scolopacidae.
UUGCACUGUUCGUAACCUCUUGACAGCAUAUUUCUGUGAAUAGGUUCCAUUCCAGUGCUACAUGAAAUCCAAUAAUGGAAGGCUGACAAAUGCCAUGUCCCUUCUGUAUUUGGAGACAAAA